UCAGUCGACUCCUACGGGAGGCAGCAGUGGAGAAUAUUGCACAAUGGGCGCAAAGCCUGAUGCAGCAACGCCGCGUGAACGAAGAAGGCUUUCGGGUCGUAAAGUUCUUUCUUAGGGAAGAAAGAUGACGGUACCUAAGGAAUAAGCACCGGCUAAAUACGUGCCAGCAGCCGCGGUAAUACGUAUGGUGCAAGCGUUAUCCGGAAUCACUGGGCGUAAAGGGUACGUAGGCGGUGAUGCAAGUCAGAAGUGAAAGGCUACGGCUCAACCGUAGUAAGCUUUUGAAACUGCAUGACUAGAGUUCAGGAGAGGUAAGUGGAAUUCCUAGUGUAGAGGUGAAAUUCGUAGAUAUUAGGAGGAACACCAGUGGCGAAGGCGACUUACUGGACUGAUACUGACGCUGAGGUACGAAAGCGUGGGGAGCGAACAGGAUUAGAUACCCUGGUAG
Molecule: ribosomal RNA, 448 nt
Filed under: uncultured bacterium
Lineage: Bacteria
Description: bacterial SSU rRNA
Rfam family: Bacterial small subunit ribosomal RNA
Source: RNAcentral